AGUGAGUUCCAGGGGUCAGGGGCUGGACAGUGGUGUGCUGGCAACUCUCCCCAUCAACUACUACCUGGCCUUGCUGGCUGUUUCCCAGACACCUGGCUGGAGCCGCCGCCUCCGGGCAAAGUGACUUGAGUGACCAGCAGCAGCAGCACGGGGACCUCGUCCCCAGUCCGCAAAAGCCUGCUUGGCACGGAGCAAAGCUUUGCACAGACAUCGCUCUCACCUAGCAUGAGAACUUUUGAACUUUUAUUUGUUUGAGAGAGAAUGGGCGCCAAGAGCCUUCAGCCGCUGCUAACCGACUCCAGAGGCGCGCGCCACCUGCGCAUCUGCUUUACGUGGGUACCGGGGAAUUGAACCUGGAUCCUUAAGCUUCUCAGGCAAGCGCCUUAGCAGCUAAGUCAUCUCUCCAGCUCCACAGCUGAAAUCUUUAACAGGGAAUAUGGACUCCACGACACCGCCUCACAAAUGGGGGAAAUUGAGGCUGCCAUGUUACGGGGACCCAGAGGAACAUUUCCGACAUCAAAGCCAGGCGACCCAGGGGCUCAGACCCAGUAGGGAAAGCCAUUCUGUAGGCUGUGGAGCUGCCCCAGGGGUCUCCAUGGCCGGAUGGCGACUGUAGUCCAGCCUGUCAAUAAAUAAA
This is a long non-coding RNA of Jaculus jaculus (lesser Egyptian jerboa), 637 nucleotides long. RefSeq lists it as uncharacterized. NCBI's taxonomy places the organism in Eukaryota, Metazoa, Chordata, Mammalia, Rodentia, Dipodidae. The transcript is spliced from 3 exons. The record is from RefSeq and is a predicted model, not a curated record.